RNAcentral lists this ribosomal RNA (2933 nucleotides) under Escherichia coli. RNAcentral's name for it is "23S ribosomal RNA". It matches the Rfam family "Bacterial large subunit ribosomal RNA". Lineage: Bacteria; Pseudomonadati; Pseudomonadota; Gammaproteobacteria; Enterobacterales; Enterobacteriaceae. The record is from RNAcentral.
GGGUUGUGAGGUUAAGCGACUAAGCGUACACGGUGGAUGCCCUGGCAGUCAGAGGCGAUGAAGGACGUGCUAAUCUGCGAUAAGCGUCGGUAAGGUGAUAUGAACCGUUAUAACCGGCGAUUUCCGAAUGGGGAAACCCAGUGUGUUUCGACACACUAUCAUUAACUGAAUCCAUAGGUUAAUGAGGCGAACCGGGGGAACUGAAACAUCUAAGUACCCCGAGGAAAAGAAAUCAACCGAGAUUCCCCCAGUAGCGGCGAGCGAACGGGGAGCAGCCCAGAGCCUGAAUCAGUGUGUGUGUUAGUGGAAGCGUCUGGAAAGGCGCGCGAUACAGGGUGACAGCCCCGUACACAAAAAUGCACAUGCUGUGAGCUCGAUGAGUAGGGCGGGACACGUGGUAUCCUGUCUGAAUAUGGGGGGACCAUCCUCCAAGGCUAAAUACUCCUGACUGACCGAUAGUGAACCAGUACCGUGAGGGAAAGGCGAAAAGAACCCCGGCGAGGGGAGUGAAAAAGAACCUGAAACCGUGUACGUACAAGCAGUGGGAGCACGCUUAGGCGUGUGACUGCGUACCUUUUGUAUAAUGGGUCAGCGACUUAUAUUCUGUAGCAAGGUUAACCGAAUAGGGGAGCCGAAGGGAAACCGAGUCUUAACUGGGCGUUAAGUUGCAGGGUAUAGACCCGAAACCCGGUGAUCUAGCCAUGGGCAGGUUGAAGGUUGGGUAACACUAACUGGAGGACCGAACCGACUAAUGUUGAAAAAUUAGCGGAUGACUUGUGGCUGGGGGUGAAAGGCCAAUCAAACCGGGAGAUAGCUGGUUCUCCCCGAAAGCUAUUUAGGUAGCGCCUCGUGAAUUCAUCUCCGGGGGUAGAGCACUGUUUCGGCAAGGGGGUCAUCCCGACUUACCAACCCGAUGCAAACUGCGAAUACCGGAGAAUGUUAUCACGGGAGACACACGGCGGGUGCUAACGUCCGUCGUGAAGAGGGAAACAACCCAGACCGCCAGCUAAGGUCCCAAAGUCAUGGUUAAGUGGGAAACGAUGUGGGAAGGCCCAGACAGCCAGGAUGUUGGCUUAGAAGCAGCCAUCAUUUAAAGAAAGCGUAAUAGCUCACUGGUCGAGUCGGCCUGCGCGGAAGAUGUAACGGGGCUAAACCAUGCACCGAAGCUGCGGCAGCGACACUAUGUGUUGUUGGGUAGGGGAGCGUUCUGUAAGCCUGUGAAGGUGUGCUGUGAGGCAUGCUGGAGGUAUCAGAAGUGCGAAUGCUGACAUAAGUAACGAUAAAGCGGGUGAAAAGCCCGCUCGCCGGAAGACCAAGGGUUCCUGUCCAACGUUAAUCGGGGCAGGGUGAGUCGACCCCUAAGGCGAGGCCGAAAGGCGUAGUCGAUGGGAAACAGGUUAAUAUUCCUGUACUUGGUGUUACUGCGAAGGGGGGGACGGAGAAGGCUAUGUUGGCCGGGCGACGGUUGUCCCGGUUUAAGCGUGUAGGCUGGUUUUCCAGGCAAAUCCGGAAAAUCAAGGCUGAGGCGUGAUGACGAGGCACUACGGUGCUGAAGCAACAAAUGCCCUGCUUCCAGGAAAAGCCUCUAAGCAUCAGGUAACAUCAAAUCGUACCCCAAACCGACACAGGUGGUCAGGUAGAGAAUACCAAGGCGCUUGAGAGAACUCGGGUGAAGGAACUAGGCAAAAUGGUGCCGUAACUUCGGGAGAAGGCACGCUGAUAUGUAGGUGAAGUCCCUCGCGGAUGGAGCUGAAAUCAGUCGAAGAUACCAGCUGGCUGCAACUGUUUAUUAAAAACACAGCACUGUGCAAACACGAAAGUGGACGUAUACGGUGUGACGCCUGCCCGGUGCCGGAAGGUUAAUUGAUGGGGUUAGCCGCAAGGCGAAGCUCUUGAUCGAAGCCCCGGUAAACGGCGGCCGUAACUAUAACGGUCCUAAGGUAGCGAAAUUCCUUGUCGGGUAAGUUCCGACCUGCACGAAUGGCGUAAUGAUGGCCAGGCUGUCUCCACCCGAGACUCAGUGAAAUUGAACUCGCUGUGAAGAUGCAGUGUACCCGCGGCAAGACGGAAAGACCCCGUGAACCUUUACUAUAGCUUGACACUGAACAUUGAGCCUUGAUGUGUAGGAUAGGUGGGAGGCUUUGAAGUGUGGACGCCAGUCUGCAUGGAGCCGACCUUGAAAUACCACCCUUUAAUGUUUGAUGUUCUAACGUUGACCCGUAAUCCGGGUUGCGGACAGUGUCUGGUGGGUAGUUUGACUGGGGCGGUCUCCUCCUAAAGAGUAACGGAGGAGCACGAAGGUUGGCUAAUCUGGUCGGACAUCAGGAGGUUAGUGCAAUGGCAUAAGCCAGCUUGACUGCGAGCGUGACGGCGCGAGCAGGUGCGAAAGCAGGUCAUAGUGAUCCGGUGGUUCUGAAUGGAAGGGCCAUCGCUCAACGGAUAAAAGGUACUCCGGGGAUAACAGGCUGAUACCGCCCAAGAGUUCAUAUCGACGGCGGUGUUUGGCACCUCGAUGUCGGCUCAUCACAUCACGGGGCUGAAGUAGGUCCCAAGGGUAUGGCUGUUCGCCAUUUAAAGUGGUACGCGAGCUGGGUUUAGAACGUCGUGAGACAGUUCGGGUCCCUAUCUGCCGUGGGCGCUGGAGAACUGAGGGGGGCUGCUCCUAGUACGAGAGGACCGGAGUGGACGCAUCACUGGUGUUCGGGUUGUCAUGCCAAUGGCACUGCCCGGUAGCUAAAUGCGGAAGAGAUAAGUGCUGAAAGCAUCUAAGCACGAAACUUGCCCCGAGAUGAGUUCUCCCUGACUCCUUGAGAGUCCUGAAGGAACGUUGAAGACGACGACGUUGAUAGGCCGGGUGUGUAAGCGCAGCGAUGCGUUGAGCUAACCGGUACUAAUGAACCGUGAGGCUUAACCUUACAACGCCGAAGGUGUUU